RNAcentral lists this ribosomal RNA (107 nucleotides) under Synechococcus sp. MU1642. RNAcentral describes it as "partial 16S ribosomal RNA". It matches the Rfam family "Bacterial small subunit ribosomal RNA", at positions 1 to 120 of the family's 1533-position model. The record is from RNAcentral. Lineage: Bacteria; Bacillati; Cyanobacteriota; Cyanophyceae; Synechococcales; Synechococcaceae.
ACAACGGAGAGUUUGAUCCUGGCUCAGGAUGAACGCUGGCGGCGUGCUUAACACAUGCAAGUCGAACGAACCUUCGGGUUAGUGGCGGACGGGUGAGUAACGCGUGA